This 453-nucleotide long non-coding RNA is filed under the name Bos taurus (domestic cattle). Its description in RNAcentral is "long non-coding RNA NONBTAT016808". Lineage: Eukaryota; Metazoa; Chordata; Mammalia; Artiodactyla; Bovidae. The record is from RNAcentral.
AAUAUUUAUAAAAUAAUGCAAUACAGGGCCCCUGUUUUCAAGGCUUCACUCUUGACCUCUGGAUAUGGGACACGCAAGGUAAAGUACAGUAGCUCAUUUGAACUGUUACAUACUUAAAUAUUUAGCUGUAUAUUCUGUAAAGAGUGUAUACCCACACAUGAGAUAACCUAAUUAUGUCCUGAGGUCCCUAGUAAAUAAUUUAGAUUUUUUUUUUGGCAAGUUUCAAUAUAAGGAAUGUUGGAAAACAUUGUUUUAGGCUGGGAGGACAGAAGUCGUAAAUUGAUUCUUGAAGUUAAGGUAAAAUUUGGCUAGACAGAGAAGAAAAGGAUUUUAUAGGCAAAGGAAAGACGAUGAAGAAAUGAAAGAAUUGAGACUGAAUAUGGACAAGUAAUAAAACUGACUUGAAAGAAAAUAUGAUGCAUGUUGGAGAAUAGUAGUUCAGUUUGACUGCUG